AAUUACAUUAAAAUUUAUUUAGUAUUAAUUAACUUAUGGGCAUUUCAGUAAUGGAAAAUUUAAUUAAAAGUUGGGUGCUGAGAAUAAAUUUUGAGGUAUGGAUAAUCACACCCAUUAGUUAAUAAUUAGAGAGGUACUUAGAGAUACAACUUUUGGACACCAACUUUGAAAGGCUAAGCAUUAUGUGAAAUGAAAUUUAGAUGGUUAUGGGUCAACGAAAAAGCAGCUGCAAAAAUUAAGAGUAUCAGCUUGUAGUAUUGUCUUGAUCUGGUAAAUAAUGAGCUGUGCAGGCCAACGCAGUUUAGAGCGGCGCGGUGGCUGUAUGUUGGCGUGUGUUCGGUGGAAGUUGUGCGCGUGUCGUUGCAGCCUAUCACUGCCGAGUAGACAUGUUCGGUAGAGGUUGUGACAUGUUAAUGUCUGUCAUUAAAGAUUCAGAUUGAAGGUUUCAUGCCACUCCCAUCAGAAAAUAGGUAAAAUUAAUAGACAUUUAAAAGAAAAUAGGUUUAAAAGAUUAUGAUUCUAAUUUGAGUUAAUUAUGAAUAAGAAUAGACUAUGUAUUUUAAUAAGUUAUAAUAUUUUUAUAUCUCUUUUUAAGAGAUUUACAUUAGC
RNAcentral lists this long non-coding RNA (609 nucleotides) under Citrus x clementina. Its description in RNAcentral is "Citrus clementina (C. clementina) long non-coding RNA (CCLE_LNC001125)". Lineage: Eukaryota; Viridiplantae; Streptophyta; Magnoliopsida; Sapindales; Rutaceae. The record is from RNAcentral.